CCUACGAGAGGCAGCAGUGAGGAAUAUUGGUCAAUGGACGCAAGUCUGAACCAGCCAUGCCGCGUGCAGGAAGACGGCCCUAUGAGUUGUAAACUGCUUUUGUACGAGGGUAAACGCAGAUACGCGUACCUGUCUGAAAGUAUCGUACGAAUAAGGAUCGGCUAACUCCGUGCCAGCAGCCGCGGUAAUACGGAGGAUUCAAGCGUUAUCCGGCUUUAUUGGGUUGAAUGGGUGCGUAGGCGGUCGGAUAAGUUAGAGGUGAAAGCCCUAGGCUCAACUUCGGAAUUGCCUCUGAUACUGGUCGGCUAGAGUGUAGUAGCGGGAGGCGGAAUGUGUGGUGUAGCGGUGAAAUGCGUAGAGAUCAUGCAGAACACCGAUUGCGAAGGCAGCUUACCAAGCUACAUCUGACGUUGAGGCACGAAAGCGUGGGGAGCAAACAGGAUUAGAUACCCGGGUAGUC
This 460-nucleotide ribosomal RNA is filed under the name uncultured bacterium. RNAcentral's name for it is "partial 16S ribosomal RNA". It matches the Rfam family "Bacterial small subunit ribosomal RNA", at positions 338 to 795 of the family's 1533-position model. The record is from RNAcentral.